AGGGACGAAGGGCGAAGGGUUAAUAGCCCUUAGCCUGACGGUACCUUUCGAGGAAGCCCCGGCUAACUACGUGCCAGCAGCCGCGGUAAUACGUAGGGGUCGAGCGUUGUCCGGAAUUAUUGGGCGUAAAGAGCGUGUAGGCGGUUCGGUAAGUCUGCCGUGAAAACCUGAGGCUCAACCUCGGGCGUGCGGUGGAUACUGCCGGGCUAGAGGACGGUAGAGGCGAGUGGAAUUCCCGGUGUAGCGGUGAAAUGCGCAGAUAUCGGGAGGAACACCAGUAGCGAAGGCGGCUCGCAGGGCCGUUCCUGACGCUGAGACGCGAAAGCUAGGGGAGCGAACAGGAUUAGAUACCCUGGUAGUCCUAGCCGUAAACGAUGGACACUAGGUGUGGGGGGAGCCGAAUCCCUCUGUGCCGCAGUUAACGCGUUAAGUGUCCCGCCUGGGGGGUACGGCCGCAAGGCUAAAACUCAAAAGAAUUGACGGGGGCCCGCACAAGCAGCGGAGCAUGUUCUUUAAUUCGAUGCAACGCGAAGAACCUUACCUGGACUUGACAUGGUGC
This 559-nucleotide ribosomal RNA is filed under the name uncultured Actinomycetes bacterium. RNAcentral's name for it is "bacterial SSU rRNA". It matches the Rfam family "Bacterial small subunit ribosomal RNA", at positions 441 to 992 of the family's 1533-position model. The record is from RNAcentral. Lineage: Bacteria; Bacillati; Actinomycetota; Actinomycetes.